GAACAGGAUUAGAUACCCUGGUAGUCCACGCCGUAAACGUUGGGAACUAGAUGUAGGGACCAUUCCACGGUUUCUGUGUCGCAGCUAACGCAUUAAGUUCCCCGCCUGGGGAGUACGGCCGCAAGGCUAAAACUCAAAGGAAUUGGCGGGGGCCCGCACAAGCGGCGGAGCAUGCGGAUUAAUUCGAUGCAACGCGAAGAACCUUACCAAGGCUUGACAUAUACCGGAAAAGUGCAGAAAUGUACUCCCCGCAAGGUCGGUAUACAGGUGGUGCAUGGUUGUCGUCAGCUCGUGUCGUGAGAUGUUGGGUUAAGUCCCGCAACGAGCGCAACCCUCGUCCUAUGUUGCCAGCACGUAAUGGUGGGAACUCAUGGGAGACUGCCGGGGUCAACUCGGAGGAAGGUGGGGAUGACGUCAAAUCAUCAUGCCCCUUAUGUCUUGGGCUUCACGCAUGCUACAAUGGCCGAUACAGAGGGCUGCAAUACCGCAAGGUGGAGCGAAUCCCAAAAAGUCGGUCUCAGUUCGGAUUGAGGUCUGCAACUCGACCUCAUGAAGUCGGAGUCGCUAGUAAUCGCAGAUCAGCAACGCUGCGGUGAAUACGUUCCCGGGCCUUGUACACACCGCCCGUCAAGUCAUGAAAGUCGGUAACACCCGAAGC
RNAcentral lists this ribosomal RNA (658 nucleotides) under uncultured Actinomycetes bacterium. Its description in RNAcentral is "bacterial SSU rRNA". It matches the Rfam family "Bacterial small subunit ribosomal RNA", at positions 770 to 1427 of the family's 1533-position model. Lineage: Bacteria; Bacillati; Actinomycetota; Actinomycetes. The record is from RNAcentral.